GUUGGGGUCUCUCCUGGGGCUGCCAUCAAGGUAUUAGCCAGAGCUGCAGUCAUCUCAAGGCUCAACUGGGGAAGGAUCUGCUUUCAAGCUUGCUCAUGAGAUUGUUGGCAAGACUCAGCUCAUCACAGGAGGUUGGACUGAGGGCCUCUCUCAGUUAUUUGCCAUGUGAAUCUCUACGCAGGGCAGCGCAUGACGUGGCAAAGUGAGAGAGAAGAAUCAGGGAGAGAAAGUGAGCAAGGUACAGGUCACCGUCCUUUAUAGCCGAAUCCCAGUGAGCUAUCUUAUCACCUUUGCCUAUUCUAUUCUUAAGAAGCAAGUCAGUAUGUCCUGCCCCGUUCAAGUGGAGGGAAUCACACAAGGGCAUGAAUACAGGAAGCAGACAUCGCUGAGAGCCAUUGAGAGACUGUCUACCAGAUGUAGUUCACUGUUGCAGAAGUCUUGGGAGCAACGUCUUCAAUGAUAGCAAGAACAAGAAUUGUAUUUCUCACGAGGAACUGUGCCCCUGACUUAGGGCCAUCUGUUGCAAGACUUGAACCAGAUCAGAUGUGAACCUGAGGAAGCACCUUGUGAAGUCCAAGGGUGAAGCUAACUUGGCAGAAGGCAGAGCCAGGAGACAGAGAGAUAUAGAGAGUCCCAGUGCAAUGGCAUGGUUGAACCCUGGCUCGAACAACACCUUGUGAAAAUUAAUAAAGGGAAACCCUACUAAAAUAGUCAGGAGGCCAGAAAGGGGAGAUCUCAUGCACAUACAGUUCAGAUCCCAAUCGGAAGAGGCGUACCUUGCAUCUCCAGCAGGAAGUGACAAUACUUUAUCACCUCCAGAAGGAAGAAAAAAGAUUCUCUUUGCUUGGCAACAGCUCAGCCAAUGAGAGCCUGUCACGACUCAGCCAAUGAAAAGCCACUAUACUGGGAAACUUCCAGUUUUCCUCUAAUGGACAUUUUGUUUGUAAUAGCCCCGCCCAACUUCCCCUUCUCCUCUAUAAAAGAGUUUCCUCUCCUUUGCUUUACCGGGACUUGAAUGUGGUUUUCCGUAAUUGCAUGUCCCAAAUUGCAAUUUUUUGCUGCUCCCAAGUAAACCCAUUUUGCUGAUAAAAUAACCGCUGUUUAUUGUUUUAGGUUAACAAGCUGAAGAGAGUCGUAUUUUCUAACUUUUCAUGAAUGGGAUCCAAUAAA
Mesoplodon densirostris (Blainville's beaked whale) is the source of this 1170-nucleotide long non-coding RNA. RefSeq lists it as uncharacterized. The transcript has 3 exons. The record is from RefSeq and is a predicted model, not a curated record. Lineage: Eukaryota; Metazoa; Chordata; Mammalia; Artiodactyla; Ziphiidae.